This is a long non-coding RNA of Eptesicus fuscus (big brown bat), 615 nucleotides long. RefSeq lists it as uncharacterized. The transcript has 3 exons. NCBI's taxonomy places the organism in Eukaryota, Metazoa, Chordata, Mammalia, Chiroptera, Vespertilionidae. The record is from RefSeq and is a predicted model, not a curated record.
GCGGUAACAGGAUGACAGGCCAGGCCCUCCCUCCUGCGGGGGCAGAACCCACUCCCUCCCUCCGCGGCAUAACCUGACAUGGGUAUCUUUAGGAUGUGCUCCCAGACAGAGAGUGGGCGAGGAGAGGUGUGAAUGGCUCUCACUUCAGGACGUGACGGUGCAUCAUGGGACUCUUUCUUCUCCAAUGCUAUCUCCAAAACUGACUCUCACUAAAUGGAUGAAAAUUUCCAGCAUUUGCCCAAUGCGCAAGGUGGUAUGAAGCUAUGUAAAGUAGCAAGCACAUGGAAGUAAAAAGAAUACCUGAUCAUGAUGGAGCCCACUCUCAGAGCUACAAGACAUCUUGGGAUGAUGGGACCAUGUCAUGGCUAAUAUCCGCAGAUGGAAUACUCAGUAACAAAGAAAGAGUGGCCAUUUUAUAAUGGAUUCAAGUCGUCAAACAACUUCACCGUCCAAAGUUAGAAAGUCUAAGAGCAUUGUGCCAGGAAGAAAACACAAGGCUACAUUGUCACAUGUGGAAAUAUACAAUGGUAUUCCAGGCACCUCUGUGAUAAAAGUGCUUCAAAUUAGAACAGCACAUUCAUUGUUACUAAGGUUUUUCAUAAGACCACACUGUCC